ACUGAUGCCAGAGUAGAUGUGGCUGCUGAGUCACAUGUGUGUUAAUAGCUGGCAGAGAGGAGAGAGGCUAUAUCUACACUCAGUAUUCUGACGUCUGAACAUGUGAAUGAUUAGUAGACUAACAGU
Small nucleolar RNA from Grammomys surdaster, 126 nucleotides. RefSeq annotates it as small nucleolar RNA SNORA17. The transcript has a single exon. The record is from RefSeq and is a predicted model, not a curated record. Lineage: Eukaryota; Metazoa; Chordata; Mammalia; Rodentia; Muridae.